AUACGGAGGGUGCAAGCGUUACUCGGAAUCACUGGGCGUAAAGCGCGCGCAGGCGGCUUGGUAAGUUGGAUGUGAAAGCCUACGGCUCAACCGUAGAACUGCAUCCAAAACUGCCAAGCUAGAGUGUGGGAGAGGAAGAUGGAAUUAGUUGUGUAGGGGUAAAAUCCGUAGAGAUAACUAGGAAUACCAAAAGCGAAGGCAAUCUUCUGGAACACUACUGACGCUGAGGCGCGAAAGCGUGGGGAGCAAACAGGAUUAGAAACCCCAGUGUCC
This 273-nucleotide ribosomal RNA is filed under the name uncultured bacterium. RNAcentral describes it as "partial 16S ribosomal RNA". It matches the Rfam family "Bacterial small subunit ribosomal RNA", at positions 523 to 796 of the family's 1533-position model. The record is from RNAcentral.